This 344-nucleotide long non-coding RNA is filed under the name Olea europaea (common olive). Its description in RNAcentral is "long non-coding RNA (OEUR_LNC010133)". The record is from RNAcentral. Lineage: Eukaryota; Viridiplantae; Streptophyta; Magnoliopsida; Lamiales; Oleaceae.
UCGGUUCCCUUCCUCGUUUAUUAGUAUGAAUUAACAAAUCUUACUACAGUUAUUGUUAGAAAACAAAGAAAAAACCAGGGCCACGAGUUCAAAACUUCAACAACUUAGUACAGACAACUUCAGCGCAUGCGCACCAUACAGAGGUGUAAAGUUGGUUUGGAUCGUCUAGGCUAUCCAGCUGCCAUUAAAGGGACAGUGUCAAGCCCCUGCCUGGGUGGACCGUCCCAUUUUACACCUCUACACACAUCAAUAGAUAUCAUUUCCAUUAAAAGAGUCAAAUAAUAGGAUUUGUAUAACUUAUCCUCAUUAUUGAAAUUAUCUUUAUCUUUAGUUUUAUAAUANNN